GACGAACGCUGGCGGCGUGCCUAAUACAUGCAAGUAGAACGCUGAAGGAGGAGCUUGCUUCUCUGGAUGAGUUGCGAACGGGUGAGUAACGCGUAGGUAACCUGCCUGGUAGCGGGGGAUAACUAUUGGAAACGAUAGCUAAUACCGCAUAAUAGUAGAUGUUGCAUGACAUUUGCUUAAAAGGUGCAAUUGCAUCACUACCAGAUGGACCUGCGUUGUAUUAGCUAGUUGGUGGGGUAACGGCUCACCAAGGCGACGAUACAUAGCCGACCUGAGAGGGUGAUCGGCCACACUGGGACUGAGACACGGCCCAGACUCCUACGGGAGGCAGCAGUAGGGAAUCUUCGGCAAUGGACGGAAGUCUGACCGAGCAACGCCGCGUGAGUGAAGAAGGUUUUCGGAUCGUAAAGCUCUGUUGUAAGAGAAGAACGAGUGUGAGAGUGGAAAGUUCACACUGUGACGGUAUCUUACCAGAAAGGGACGGCUAACUACGUGCCAGCAGCCGCGGUAAUACGUAGGUCCCGAGCGUUGUCCGGAUUUAUUGGGCGUAAAGCGAGCGCAGGCGGUUAGAUAGGUCUGAAGUUAAAGGCUGUGGCUUAACCAUAGUACGCUUUGGAAACUGUUUAACUUGAGUGCAAGAGGGGAGAGUGGAAUUCCAUGUGUAGCGGUGAAAUGCGUAGAUAUAUGGAGGAACACCGGUGGCGAAAGCGGCUCUCUGGCUUGUAACUGACGCUGAGGCUCGAAAGCGUGGGGAGCAAACAGG
Molecule: ribosomal RNA, 763 nt
Filed under: uncultured Streptococcus sp.
Lineage: Bacteria; Bacillati; Bacillota; Bacilli; Lactobacillales; Streptococcaceae
Description: bacterial SSU rRNA
Rfam family: Bacterial small subunit ribosomal RNA
Source: RNAcentral